Molecule: long non-coding RNA, 919 nt
Filed under: Homo sapiens (human)
Lineage: Eukaryota; Metazoa; Chordata; Mammalia; Primates; Hominidae
Description: non-protein coding DIRC3-AS1:7
Source: RNAcentral
GUCCUUGCCCUCUUUCUGGCUUGAAUGGAAAAUGUGGCCUCCUGGGACUGUCAGUGGUGUGGUCCCCACAUCCUUAGUUGUACACAUAACAUGCUUACCGUGUGCUUGCUUUGAGUCCCUUCUGAGCUCCCAUGCAAUGUAGACUCAUCGGAAUCCCGUGCUCAUGGGAUUUUAUGAACACUAUAUGCAAAUAGGACAGCAAGAAAUGGCAGUAAACGCUUUUAUUGUUGCUAUCUCCUCUGCUCCUGCACAUGCUCCAUGGUAUCGUUGGACUUCACUUACAAAACACAGAUACAAAGACAAAAUUACUAAGAAUUACCAAGAAUUUUAAUUUCAAGAUGGCAACAGAGUAUUAAACCAAAGAUGAAGUCGUUCUGAGUGUGGGGUUUGCGAGAUGGCACAGGUGGCACUCCCAGGAGCUCGUCUUGGCCAGGUCGCACCCUUGAGUCCAUUGGAACCUGAAUCUCACCCUGCUCUGCUAUGCUAUACUGACUCCAGCUGAAUUCAAGGAGUUACAGUUUGAAACUCUCCAGACUCCAGUGGCCAUCCCACUUGUGUUCCAUCUUGCUGUCUCUCCUAGAUCACUUGCUCUGAGGGAGGACAUCUGCUGUAUCAUGAGGACGCAAAACCAUCCCAUGGAGGGUGCUACAUGCAGAGCAGCUGAGGCCUCCUGCUAGUUGUCAGUGAGGAACCGAGGCUUCUUGCCAAUGGCCAUGUGAGUGAGCCAUCUUGCAAACAGAUCCCCUAACCCCAGUUAAGCCCUUCAGGCAAACUGCAACGUUGUCAAGUCUUAACUGCAACCUCAUGAGAGACCCUAGGCCAUAGCCACCAGCUAAGCUGCUCUUGAAUUCCUGACUCAGAAACUUUGAGAUCAUGAAUCUUUGUUGUAUUAGGCCUCCAACCUUAGGGGUAAUUGGUU